This 64-nucleotide transfer RNA is filed under the name Allacta australiensis. RNAcentral's name for it is "tRNA-Glu". Lineage: Eukaryota; Metazoa; Arthropoda; Insecta; Blattodea; Pseudophyllodromiidae. The record is from RNAcentral.
AUUUAUAUAGUUUAAAUAAAACAGUACAUUUUCAUUGUAAAAAUAAAAUAAUUUUUUAUAAAUA